Molecule: long non-coding RNA, 344 nt
Organism: Cydia amplana
Lineage: Eukaryota; Metazoa; Arthropoda; Insecta; Lepidoptera; Tortricidae
Exons: 3
Source: RefSeq, a predicted model, not a curated record
CUUUUAUUUUUGACUUCAAAGGCAUUUGUUCUCACUCACGAUCAUGAAGAUUUUAUUCUUGUCAUUUAUCAUGUUAUUAAUUGCAAUGGUAUCGGGUAGCUGGAAAUAUGCUUUCAAACAAAAGGCUUACCUGGUUAGAAAUACAGCCGAACAAGUGCAGAAAAAUUUGACGGCACUGAGGGGGAUACUGCAAUUCCAGGCGCGGAUUAAAUCGAAACUGGACUUGAAUUGCAAAUAAAUGGAGUAACGCCCACAUCUAAGAAGAUUUGCACAAACUUACAAAACUGUUGUGGACACAAUAAAACAAGUUUUAAUAUCACAAAUAUAUUUAUUGUAUUAUUGUA